Molecule: unclassified non-coding RNA, 115 nt
Organism: Macaca fascicularis (crab-eating macaque)
Lineage: Eukaryota; Metazoa; Chordata; Mammalia; Primates; Cercopithecidae
Rfam family: Metazoan signal recognition particle RNA
About the family: The signal recognition particle (SRP) is a universally conserved ribonucleoprotein. It is involved in the co-translational targeting of proteins to membranes. The eukaryotic SRP consists of a 300-nucleotide 7S RNA and six proteins: SRPs 72, 68, 54, 19, 14, and 9.
Source: Ensembl
GCCGGGUGCGGUGGCUCACACCUGUAUUCCCAGCACUGGGAGGCUGAGGCAGGUGGAUCACCUGAGGUCAGGAGUUCGAGACUAGCCUGGCCAACAUGGUGAAACCCUGUCUCUA